This 2018-nucleotide ribosomal RNA is filed under the name Escherichia coli. Its description in RNAcentral is "partial 23S ribosomal RNA". It matches the Rfam family "Bacterial large subunit ribosomal RNA", at positions 513 to 2516 of the family's 2925-position model. Lineage: Bacteria; Pseudomonadati; Pseudomonadota; Gammaproteobacteria; Enterobacterales; Enterobacteriaceae. The record is from RNAcentral.
GGCGAAAAGAACCCCGGCGAGGGGAGUGAAAAAGAACCUGAAACCGUGUACGUACAAGCAGUGGGAGCCUCUUAAUGGGGUGACUGCGUACCUUUUGUAUAAUGGGUCAGCGACUUAUAUUCUGUAGCAAGGUUAACCGAAUAGGGGAGCCGAAGGGAAACCGAGUCUUAACUGGGCGUUAAGUUGCAGGGUAUAGACCCGAAACCCGGUGAUCUAGCCAUGGGCAGGUUGAAGGUUGGGUAACACUAACUGGAGGACCGAACCGACUAAUGUUGAAAAAUUAGCGGAUGACUUGUGGCUGGGGGUGAAAGGCCAAUCAAACCGGGAGAUAGCUGGUUCUCCCCGAAAGCUAUUUAGGUAGCGCCUCGUGAAUUCAUCUCCGGGGGUAGAGCACUGUUUCGGCAAGGGGGUCAUCCCGACUUACCAACCCGAUGCAAACUGCGAAUACCGGAGAAUGUUAUCACGGGAGACACACGGCGGGUGCUAACGUCCGUCGUGAAGAGGGAAACAACCCAGACCGCCAGCUAAGGUCCCAAAGUCAUGGUUAAGUGGGAAACGAUGUGGGAAGGCCCAGACAGCCAGGAUGUUGGCUUAGAAGCAGCCAUCAUUUAAAGAAAGCGUAAUAGCUCACUGGUCGAGUCGGCCUGCGCGGAAGAUGUAACGGGGCUAAACCAUGCACCGAAGCUGCGGCAGCGACACUAUGUGUUGUUGGGUAGGGGAGCGUUCUGUAAGCCUGUGAAGGUGGCCUGUGAGGGUUGCUGGAGGUAUCAGAAGUGCGAAUGCUGACAUAAGUAACGAUAAAGCGGGUGAAAAGCCCGCUCGCCGGAAGACCAAGGGUUCCUGUCCAACGUUAAUCGGGGCAGGGUGAGUCGACCCCUAAGGCGAGGCCGAAAGGCGUAGUCGAUGGGAAACAGGUUAAUAUUCCUGUACUUGGUGUUACUGCGAAGGGGGGACGGAGAAGGCUAUGUUGGCCGGGCGACGGUUGUCCCGGUUUAAGCGUGUAGGCUGGUUUUCCAGGCAAAUCCGGAAAAUCAAGGCUGAGGCGUGAUGACGAGGCACUACGGUGCUGAAGCGACAAAUGCCCUGCUUCCAGGAAAAGCCUCUAAGCAUCAGGUAACAUCAAAUCGUACCCCAAACCGACACAGGUGGUCAGGUAGAGAAUACCAAGGCGCUUGAGAGAACUCGGGUGAAGGAACUAGGCAAAAUGGUGCCGUAACUUCGGGAGAAGGCACGCUGAUAUGUAGGUGAAGCGACUUGCUCGUGGAGCUGAAAUCAGUCGAAGAUACCAGCUGGCUGCAACUGUUUAUUAAAAACACAGCACUGUGCAAACACGAAAGUGGACGUAUACGGUGUGACGCCUGCCCGGUGCCGGAAGGUUAAUUGAUGGGGUUAGCGGUAACGCGAAGCUCUUGAUCGAAGCCCCGGUAAACGGCGGCCGUAACUAUAACGGUCCUAAGGUAGCGAAAUUCCUUGUCGGGUAAGUUCCGACCUGCACGAAUGGCGUAAUGAUGGCCAGGCUGUCUCCACCCGAGACUCAGUGAAAUUGAACUCGCUGUGAAGAUGCAGUGUACCCGCGGCAAGACGGAAAGACCCCGUGAACCUUUACUAUAGCUUGACACUGAACAUUGAGCCUUGAUGUGUAGGAUAGGUGGGAGGCUUUGAAGUGUGGACGCCAGUCUGCAUGGAGCCGACCUUGAAAUACCACCCUUUAAUGUUUGAUGUUCUAACGUGGGCCCCUUACCGGGGUUGCGGACAGUGUCUGGUGGGUAGUUUGACUGGGGCGGUCUCCUCCUAAAGAGUAACGGAGGAGCACGAAGGUUGGCUAAUCCUGGUCGGACAUCAGGAGGUUAGUGCAAUGGCAUAAGCCAGCUUGACUGCGAGCGUGACGGCGCGAGCAGGUGCGAAAGCAGGUCAUAGUGAUCCGGUGGUUCUGAAUGGAAGGGCCAUCGCUCAACGGAUAAAAGGUACUCCGGGGAUAACAGGCUGAUACCGCCCAAGAGUUCAUAUCGACGGCGGUG